This 1118-nucleotide long non-coding RNA is filed under the name Olea europaea (common olive). RNAcentral's name for it is "long non-coding RNA (OEUR_LNC013372)". The record is from RNAcentral. Lineage: Eukaryota; Viridiplantae; Streptophyta; Magnoliopsida; Lamiales; Oleaceae.
GUACAGGUAACAUUUUUAAGUUUACCAAAACGAGCUCUCCACAAGUCAUAAGUUAAAGUGCCUGCCUCAGUCACUUUGUGAACAUUGUCCGGAACAUCUUCUUCCUGACAUUUGUUCCUUGAGACCGUGUUCUGUCCUGACUUUCUGCUGUCAUAGCAUUCAUGAGAACAAUGUAUCCAUUGGCGUUCCUUUUAUUCAAAUUAGUAAUUAUCUAGACAAUUCUGUUGUGGACAAUAAAGAUGCUACAUCCUCGAUGUUUCGUCUUAUGUUCAACACCAUUUAGAUCUCGAGUCUUUGGAUCACUUCUCUGUGUAUGUUGUAUGCUUUAUCUUUAGUUUUUUCUGAGUUGCUCCACCACAUUGCUUUCCAUUUAUUUUCUCCAAUUCCUUCUUUUACUGCAUCUUUCCCCCCCUUUUGUGCAAUUAGCUUGGUUGUGUGGAGUUUUGAAAUAUAGUUUUGAUGAGCAUUUUUAUUGGCAUCGACGAUUCCAUUUCAUCUCUAUUGUAAGUGUCCAAUUCUCUACUAGUCAAUGAUAUUGUUCUUUUGCUAGCAUUUCCUUCAAGGUUUUGUUAGAAAGCACUCGAAUCAGCUGAUCUUCUAUUCUCUUUCACUGUGACAACGUCAUGUGAGUAUUGAGAUUAACAGUUAGGCCAAAAUUUCACGGUGGCAUCCUAAUAAGUUUGCCCACCAGUCUAGGUUACAAGUCAGCCUAGUUGAUGUCAUCCAUUAUUGGGUAAAUCAUCGUUCUUACUCAUUGAGAAAGCUGCAACAGUAAUUAAUACUCGCGUGGAAUUCUGCCAUUGUCCUCCCUCAUCCAUUUGGCACUCAAAACUUGUAUUACUUUCUUGUUGGCUUCAUUCAAUAUGUUUGAAUUAAGUGUAUUCCAAAGGGCGGGUGACCUAAUAACUGUUCUUGUUAUUAGUUUGUGGUCAAAGUAGUUUAUUUUGGGGCUUUGCCUUGUUUAAUUAUUGGUGCAGCGGUGGUCAUGAAUGCCUGUGCUGUUGUAGAUGUUUGAACUUUUAUCUGGUGUACCUUACACGUGAAAUUAUAUAUAUAUUUUUUCGGUAUUGUUUUCUAUUUGCGAGGAGCUUCUUUACGAGGUCGGGCACUUCUUUUUU